Molecule: RNA transcript, 1835 nt
Organism: Panicum virgatum (switchgrass)
Lineage: Eukaryota; Viridiplantae; Streptophyta; Magnoliopsida; Poales; Poaceae
Gene name: glycine-rich RNA-binding protein RZ1A-like
Exons: 5
Source: RefSeq, a predicted model, not a curated record
GCUGGGAUUUAGGGUUCCAGCGCCGGGGGUGGUGAUUAUUCCCCAUCCACGCUUCGCUUCCCACCCUAUAAAGCGCCUCGAUCCAGACCUUUGCUAAAAAUAACAAGGCGCAGAGGCAACCUCGAUUCGAUCCUCGCUCGCGGAGAUGUCUGAUGUUGAGGAGUACCGUUGCUUCAUCGGGAACCUGUCAUGGUCGACAACUGAUGAGAGCCUCAAGGAUGCAUUCGACAAAUUUGGAAACCUCACUGAGGCAAAGGUGGUUCUUGACAAAUUUUCUGGCCGAUCUCGUGGUUUCGGCUUUGUAACAUUUGAUGAGAAGAAAGCUAUGGAGGAUGCUAUUGAAGGGAUGGAUGGCCUGGACUUGGACGGGAGGAACAUCACUGUCGAUAAAGCUCAGCCACAAGGGCCUGGUAGAGAUCGUAAUGGUGAUCGUGACUAUGAUCGUGACCGUGGAUCUCGUUAUGACCGUGGCCGUGACUAUGGUGGUGGUGGUGGACGUGCACCACGUGGCGGCGGCGGCGGCGGUGGGGACUGCUUCAAGUGCGGAAAACCUGGUCAUUUUGCUAGGGAGUGCCCAUCUGGGGAUGGUGGGAGAGGGGAUAGAUAUGGUGGCAGAGAUGACAGGUAUGGUGGCGGUGGUGGUGGUCGUUAUGGAUCUGACCAUGGUGGUGACCGAUACUCUGGCCGUAGCCGAGAUGGUGGCAGCUACGGGGGCGACCGCUACAACCGUGACCGAUCUGGUCCCUACUGAUGGCCUAGAUCUUGAGCAGUAUGUGCCAUCCAGGCAUAUGACUUGGUCAUAGUGCUUGGCGCUUGGAUCCUGCGUGUUUGCUUGAUAUGCUAUUUGGCUGGAUUUUGUCGCUGUGUGUUGAUGAUCCUGAUCCUAGUUAUGCUUAUGGGGAUGCCGGGGAAAUGGGGGUUUGGAUGAGUUACUGUUCACGUUAUGUUCUGUUCGGGGAAUCAAGGGAUCAGCUGUAUUCUGCUUGAAUACACGGACAAGAAAAAUCAUCUCUUCUGAAAAGCAAGCUAUGAAUCAUCAAUAAGGAAAAAAUUAAAUGGAUUCUUUUUGGUUAGUUGUUAUCUUGUUCUGGAUUGGUUGCUACUGUCAUUCUGGAUUGGUUACUAGUGUCCUAAAAUCAUUUCAGUUGUCCCAUUUAGUCUGGCGAGUGGUUCCACGAAUGCAAAGUGUUCUUUGGUUCCAUUCUAUGUGCCAUUAGCAUCGGAGGACCACUGCAAAGAGAUUCCUCUUUGGCUCCUUGGAGGACCUGCAUGUUUCUGCCUGUCCCUCGGGGGUGGCUUGACUACCUGGUUGUGGUUCCUGUGACUUGCUCGUGCGGCUGCCUCUUGGUGUUCAUUUAGAUGCCCCGUUUCUUGUGGCUUGUGAGAUCAGGGAUUAUGCUUAUGCAGCCUGAGUGAAUGAGAUGCUAAAUAGUUGCUGUUCUUUUGAUACUGCACCAGUGUUCUAUCGCUUCUUCUGCCCUGUUAUAACCACUGCUGCCCUUUUGAGAGGAGUCCCAUUGAUGUUAUGCUCCAUCUGCAUAAUUUUGAUUGUUGGAUCGUCGUCUCAUGGAGUACAAUAGCCUUUAUUUGCCUGCCUGAGAGAGUACCUGCGAUUAUGCUUCAGCGGCGAUUAUGCACCUGGGAUUCAUUAGUCUCAAAUUAUUAUUAUUUUUCCUUUAAAGACUGUCGACGAAAGGUUCAUCUUUUACUUUUGAUUAUUAGCCAAUUUGAGUUUAUGUACUCACGCACGUCGCAACAGCUGCAACAUUUCACCCAUUUUUGAACAUUUCGGUUGAUUUGUACUGUGCAAGUUGUGAAUUGAUGCUUGUUUUUCA